Molecule: ribosomal RNA, 279 nt
Filed under: uncultured bacterium
Lineage: Bacteria
Description: partial 16S ribosomal RNA
Rfam family: Bacterial small subunit ribosomal RNA
Source: RNAcentral
GACGGAGGGGGCUAGCGUUGUUCGGAAUUACUGGGCGUAAAGCGCGCGUAGGCGGCGCAUUAAGUCAGAGGUGAAAGCCCGGGGCUCAACCCCGGAAUUGCCUUUGAGACUGGUGUUGCUUGAGUACGGAAGAGGUGAGUGGAAUUCCCAGUGUAGAGGUGAAAUUCGUAGAUAUUGGGAAGAACACCAGGUGGGCGAAAGGCGGCUCACUGGCUCGAUACUGACGCUGGAGGUGCGAAAAGUGUGGGGAGCAAACAGGAUUAGAUACCCCGGUAGUCC